This 518-nucleotide ribosomal RNA is filed under the name uncultured Glomus. Its description in RNAcentral is "SSU rRNA". It matches the Rfam family "Eukaryotic small subunit ribosomal RNA", at positions 569 to 1092 of the family's 1831-position model. Lineage: Eukaryota; Fungi; Glomeromycota; Glomeromycetes; Glomerales; Glomeraceae. The record is from RNAcentral.
AGCAGCCGCGGUAAUUCCAGCUCCAAUAGCGUAUAUUAAAGUUGUUGCAGUUAAAAAGCUCGUAGUUGAAUUUCGGGAUCAAUAUGUUGGUCGUGCCUCGGUACGUACUAGCUUAUUGGUUUCUCCUUUCUGAAGAACCAUGAUGUCAUUUAUUUGGUGUCGUGGGGAAUCAGGACUGUUACUUUGAAAAAAUUAGAGUGUUUAAAGCAGGCUCACGCUUGAAUACAUUAGCAUGGAAUAAUGAAAUAGGACGUUUGAUUCUAUUUUGUUGGUUUCUAGGAUCGACGUAAUGAUUAAUAGGGAUAGUUGGGGGCAUUAGUAUUCAAUUGUCAGAGGUGAAAUUCUUGGAUUUAUUGAAGACUAACUACUGCGAAAGCAUUUGCCAAGGAUGUUUUCAUUAAUCAAGAACGAAAGUUAGAGGAUCGAAGACGAUCAGAUACCGUCGUAGUCUUAACCAUAAACUAUGCCGACUAGGGAUCGGAUGAUGUAAUUUUUAAUGACUCAUUCGGCGCCUUAAC